Molecule: long non-coding RNA, 1853 nt
Filed under: Homo sapiens (human)
Lineage: Eukaryota; Metazoa; Chordata; Mammalia; Primates; Hominidae
Description: HSALNT0404067
Source: RNAcentral
GGAUACGAUCUUUUCUCUUUCCUUAUUGGGUUGAGAACUUUCAGCUUUUCACUUAAAGGAAGCAAUAUAUUGCUUCUCUAUGGCAUAUCUGAUUGACCAGCAUCAUUACUCCCAUGCUUUGGGGCCAUUAUGGAGUAAAAUAGGGGUGACUUGAACACAGGCACUGGGGUAACGCGAGAAGUUCAUCUGGUCACCAAAUCAGCUUCUAAGUGGCUCGCGGGCAGGGAGCAGCAACAGCAUGAAAACACUGGACAAAGGGAGGAGGUCACAAUGUGACCAUGUGAGAAUACAGAUUUCAUCACGCUACUCAAAACAGUGUGCAAUUUAAAACUUAGGAAUUAUGUAUUUCUGGAAUUUUCCAUUGAGUAUUUUCUAACUGCGGUUGACUGCGGAUAACCGAAACCACGGAAAGCGAAGCCAUGAAGAAGGAGGGACUCCUGUUCUGCUGCUGUUCCCUUAUUUGAGACCUAUCCUGUCUGGUCUAAUGAAGCUAGAAGUGUCUAAGCUGCUGUAACACAGCUUAGAGAAGAAGGCUCCAUUGGCUUUGCCCCUGCGUCAUACUGGGCUUCUAUUACAGUAUGAAAGGAGUGUGUUCUCUGUCUCUCUAGGCUCCAGGAGCACUGUGUGUUCCAUCUGGAACUCUAACCGUCCAAACACACCCCUCUCACUCCUUUGUCUGGUAAGUUCCUAUUGCAGAUCUCUGUCUCUGGGAGACUUCCAACUGGGAAUCUCCCGCUGAGGCCACACCUCUAGAUUAGGUUAGUGGCCCCUGAUCCACGCCGCUCCAGCAUUCUGCCAUGAGAAACCUCACUCUGCUGCAGCUUUAUCUUCUAAAUGACGUGCUGAGAACACCCACGAAACUGCAAUACCGGCUAAUCAGCCCCAGCUUCUUCAGAAAGGCUUCUGCUUGUGACUCCAUGAUCUGUAGCUUAUACACUUCACUCUCCUUCCAGUUUUCAAGUACGGAUACCUGCCAGUAGAUCAGAAGACAUAUGAGUAUUUUACAAAUGACAGCCUGAAACUAUUUUAAAGGUUAAAACUUAAACAUUCAAACCACUUUCCCAUUUCUCCUUAAAUGAAGCAUGACAGAAUCAUCAGAACUUGAUUGUAUCAUAGGUGAACAUGAAUUAGACUUUGAGAUUUGAAAACAGAACAAAAUGACAUCACAAAUGCAUACCUUCCAUGAUCCUUUUUGCAGAUAUGAAUAACUGUACAUGGCUUUCUGCUUAAGCUAUAUAUAAGCACAGAGCCAGGUUAACUGCAUGUGUACACGAGUGUGCAUUACCUAUGGUCCUGCAGCAGAAUAACCCUUAAUAAAGGCUGCAUCCUCUGCAAGUUUAGAAAAGCCUCAGAGAAGCUGUUCUCGGCAAGGGCAUCAAAAGCUUCGGGGUAUGCUUUUAAGAUUUUAGACUCUCUGUGGCUUCCCCACAAACCAACUGGCCAUUUUUGUGAGAAUCACUGCAGGAAAUGUAAAAUGGCCUCAUGGUCCAAAUGAUCCAUUAAAUAGCCUUUUAAUCCAGGUGUCAGUAAACUUGACAGGGCCCACCAGGCAAACCUGCUUACCAAACGGUGGUGUGAAUUAAACAAGCUCAGGAAUACGGAUGCUGGUGUAGGACCCAAAAAGUAUUCAUACUUUGGCUCUUUUUCCUUUCCUGUCCUUAGAAGCAGGUGCAUAGUCAAUUCUUAAUUGAAAAGCCUAAUGUUUGCAGACUGUAUAAACUAAGUCUUUUCUUACUUUACCAGAAUAAUCACAGACACAUAUGCCAAUAAAUAUCAUUUGUUUCUCAGCUACAGAAACAUAGAGAAUCAUGUUUCUGGAACUAAAUAAAAUACAGCCAGAUGUCAUAAUUUUG